UGAGGAAUCUUGCGCAAUGGGGGCAACCCUGACGCAGCAACGCCGCGUGAGUGAGGAAGGUCUUCGGAUCGUAAAGCUCUGUCGGGUGGGAAGAAACGUAUGGAAGCUAAUACCCUUCAUACUUGACGGUACCACCAAAGGAAGCACCGGCUAACUCCGUGCCAGCAGCCGCGGUAAUACGGGGGGUGCAAGCGUUGUUCGGAAUCAUUGGGCGUAAAGGGCGUGUAGGCGGCUUGGUAAGUCAGAUGUGAAAGCCCUGGGCUUAACCCAGGAAGUGCAUUUGAAACUGUCAGGCUUGAGUAGGGGAGAGGAAGGUGGAAUUCCUGGUGUAGAGGUGAAAUUCGUAGAUAUCAGGAGGAACACCGGUGGCGAAGGCGACCUUCUGGCCCUAUACUGACGCUGAGACGCGAAAGCGUGGGUAGCAAACAG
This 429-nucleotide ribosomal RNA is filed under the name uncultured bacterium. RNAcentral describes it as "bacterial SSU rRNA". It matches the Rfam family "Bacterial small subunit ribosomal RNA", at positions 355 to 775 of the family's 1533-position model. The record is from RNAcentral.